This 303-nucleotide ribosomal RNA is filed under the name uncultured bacterium. RNAcentral's name for it is "bacterial SSU rRNA". It matches the Rfam family "Bacterial small subunit ribosomal RNA", at positions 355 to 673 of the family's 1533-position model. The record is from RNAcentral.
UGGGGAAUAUUGGGCAAUGGACGCAAGUCUGACCCAGCAACGCCGCGUGAAGGAAGAAGGCUUUCGGGUUGUAAACUUCUUUUAAGGGGGAAGAGGAGAAGACGGUACCCCUUGAAUAAGCCACGGCUAACUACGUGCCAGCAGCCGCGGUAAUACGUAGGUGGCAAGCGUUGUCCGGAUUUACUGGGUGUAAAGGGCGUGCAGCCGGGCUGACAAGUCAGAUGUGAAAUCCGCGGGCUUAACCCGCGAACUGCAUUUGAAACUAUUGGUCUUGAGUGCCGGAGAGGUAAUCGGAAUUCCUUG